AGAGUUUGAUCCUGGCUCAGGACGAACGCUGGCGGCGUGCUUAACACAUGCAAGUCGAACGGAAAGGCCCUUCGGGGUACUCGAGUGGCGAACGGGUGAGUAACACGUGGGUGAUCUGCCCUGCACUUUGGGAUAAGCCUGGGAAACUGGGUCUAAUACCGAAUAGGACCAUGGCAUGCAUGUGCUGUGGUGGAAAGCUUUUGCGGUGUGGGAUGGGCCCGCGGCCUAUCAGCUUGUUGGUGGGGUGAUGGCCUACCAAGGCGACGACGGGUAGCCGGCCUGAGAGGGUGUCCGGCCACACUGGGACUGAGAUACGGCCCAGACUCCUACGGGAGGUAGCAGUGGGGAAUAUUGCACAAUGGGCGCAAGCCUGAUGCAGCGACGCCGCGUGAGGGAUGACGGCCUUCGGGUUGUAAACCUCUUUCGCCAGGGACGAAGCGCAAGUGACGGUACCUGGAGAAGAAGCACCGGCCAACUACGUGCCAGCAGCCGCGGUAAUACGUAGGGUGCGAGCGUUGUCCGGAAUUACUGGGCGUAAAGAGCUCGUAGGUGGUUUGUCGCGUUGUUCGUGAAAACUCACAGCUUAACUGUGGGCGUGCG
This 600-nucleotide ribosomal RNA is filed under the name uncultured marine bacterium. Its description in RNAcentral is "bacterial SSU rRNA". It matches the Rfam family "Bacterial small subunit ribosomal RNA", at positions 8 to 625 of the family's 1533-position model. The record is from RNAcentral.